CAGUCGCCACGGUAAUACAGAGGGUGCGAGCGUUAAUCGGAUUUACUGGGCGUAAAGCGUGCGUAGGCGGCUUUUUAAGUCGGAUGUGAAAUCCCUGAGCUUAACUUAGGAAUUGCAUUCGAUACUGGGAAGCUAGAGUAUGGGAGAGGAUGGUAGAAUUCCAGGUGUAGCGGUGAAAUGCGUAGAGAUCUGGAGGAAUACCGAUGGCGAAGGCAGCCAUCUGGCCUAAUACUGACGCUGAGGUACGAAAGCAUGGGGAGCAAACAGGAUUAGAUACCCCUGUAGUCCCUGUAUCUUAUAC
This 301-nucleotide ribosomal RNA is filed under the name uncultured bacterium. RNAcentral describes it as "partial 16S ribosomal RNA". It matches the Rfam family "Bacterial small subunit ribosomal RNA", at positions 509 to 807 of the family's 1533-position model. The record is from RNAcentral.